RNAcentral lists this ribosomal RNA (723 nucleotides) under uncultured Bacilli bacterium. Its description in RNAcentral is "bacterial SSU rRNA". It matches the Rfam family "Bacterial small subunit ribosomal RNA", at positions 53 to 757 of the family's 1533-position model. The record is from RNAcentral. Lineage: Bacteria; Bacillati; Bacillota; Bacilli.
ACAUGCAAGUCGAACGAGAGCGACCGGUGCUUGCACUGGUCAAUCUAGUGGCGAACGGGUGAGUAACACGUGGGUAACCUGCCCAUCAGAGGGGGAUAACAUCCGGAAACGGAUGCUAAAACCGCAUAGGUCUUCGAGCCGCAUGGCUUGAAGAGGAAAAGAGGCGCAAGCUUCUGCUGAUGGAUGGACCCGCGGUGCAUUAGCUAGUUGGUGAGGUAACGGCUCACCAAGGCCGUGAUGCAUAGCCGACCGGAGAGGGUGAUCGGCCACAUUGGGACUGAGACACGGCCCAAACUCCUACGGGAGGCAGCAGUAGGGAAUCUUCCGCAAUGGACGCAAGUCUGACGGAGCAACGCCGCGUGAGUGAAGAAGGUUUUCGGAUCGUAAAACUCUGUUGUUAGAGAAGAACAAGUGCUAGAGCAACUGUUAGCGCCUUGACGGUAUCUAACCAGAAAGCCACGGCUAACUACGUGCCAGCAGCCGCGGUAAUACGUAGGUGGCAAGCGUUGUCCGGAUUUAUUGGGCGUAAAGCGAGCGCAGGCGGUUCCUUAAGUCUGAUGUGAAAGCCUCCGGCUCAACCGGGGAGGGUCAUUGGAAACUGGGGAACUUGAGUGCAGAAGAGGAGAGUGGAAUUCCAUGUGUAGCGGUGAAAUGCGUAGAUAUAUGGAGGAACACCAGUGGCGAAGGCGACUCUCUGGUCUGUAACUGACGCUGAGGCUCGAA